UUGCACGCUGGCGGCAGGCCUAACCCAUGCCAGUCGAGCGGAUGAAGGGAGCUUGCUCCUGGAUUCAGCGGCGGACGGGUGAGUAAUGCCUAGGAAUCUGCCUGGUAGUGGGGGAUAACGUCCGGAAACGGGCGCUAAUACCGCAUACGUCCUGAGGGAGAAAGUGGGGGAUCUUCGGACCUCACGCUAUCAGAUGAGCCUAGGUCGGAUUAGCUAGUUGGUGGGGUAAAGGCCUACCAAGGCGACGAUCCGUAACUGGUCUGAGAGGAUGAUCAGUCACACUGGAACUGAGACACGGUCCAGACUCCUACGGGAGGCAGCAGUGGGGAAUAUUGGACAAUGGGCGAAAGCCUGAUCCAGCCAUGCCGCGUGUGUGAAGAAGGUCUUCGGAUUGUAAAGCACUUUAAGUUGGGAGGAAGGGCAGUAAGUUAAUACCUUGCUGUUUUGACGUUACCAACAGAAUAAGAACCGGCUAACUUCGUG
This 483-nucleotide ribosomal RNA is filed under the name uncultured bacterium. Its description in RNAcentral is "partial 16S ribosomal RNA". It matches the Rfam family "Bacterial small subunit ribosomal RNA", at positions 30 to 507 of the family's 1533-position model. The record is from RNAcentral.